GCCCCUGCGGCGCCACGAGAGCUUAAACCUCGCGAGAGCCUGAGGGCGGGGCGGGGCCGGAGAGCGCGGGGCGGGGCCAGGCACCUCGUGGCCGCGCUUCCCCCGUUGUUGUGGAAACCGGCGGUUGGGCGAGGUCUCGUCGCGUCUCCCUGUUGCCGUGACAACGUCCACCUACUGUGGUCCCCGAUCCCGGCCGCUGGUCUCUGGGGCUCGGCAGUGACGCGCCGCCCAUGCCCGGGCGCCCUUGGUCGGGAACCCACCGUAUAUCCGAGGCCAUCGCGCGCUUUCGUCCAGCAGCAUGUCCAGACCUGCGCGGUGGAGCAGCGGUUGCCCUGCCUUCCCGCACUCCCCCUCGGGGACAGGCAGGACCCGGGCUCCAGGAAAGGGAGGGCACUGCGGGAAGGCUGGGGGCCUCCAGGUGUAGCCCUUCACCCCUACCCUGGCCCACACACAUGGGCUGGGUGGGCCUUCCAGGCUGACCUCUGUGCUCCCCCUUGUCCAAACGACAAGGAUUUAUUAGGCACCUAUGUUCAGAAACUGCCAGCCACAGAAGCUAGGAGCAUGGCAGCCAAAGUCCUCACGAAUCUGCUGUCAGUCCUCAGUGAUGAUAGAGGCGUAAGGACCUCGGAAAAUCUGCCUCUCCUCUCGCCUUUCAUAAGAGCAAGGAAAAAACUAGCAAAAUGGUCAGAAUCAACUUUUUCAGAACUUUGGAAAUUAACCAAAGCGGCGCACACGUACUUCUGGAUCCAUCCAGCUGGCCACCGCCCAGGACAGCCCCUCCCGUCCCGGUUGGAGCUGGAUCAGAGGGAUAGAACCCUGAAUGACAAAGGCUUAAGCAAGGACCCAUCAGCUCCAAGUCAAGUCGUGGUCUCAAUCUAGUUGUGGAGGGCGCAACUCAAGUGGCCCAUGCAGGGAUCGAACCAGCAACCUUGUUAAGAGCACCGCGCUCCAACCAACUGAGCUAACCGGCCACCUCCCUCUUUCAGCUCUUGUCCCCAUUUGUAUGUCCUGUGAUUUAAUGUAUUUUCAUGACUGUGUU
Molecule: long non-coding RNA, 1039 nt
Organism: Rhinolophus ferrumequinum (greater horseshoe bat)
Lineage: Eukaryota; Metazoa; Chordata; Mammalia; Chiroptera; Rhinolophidae
Exons: 3
Source: RefSeq, a predicted model, not a curated record